GCUCUCGUGGCCUAAUGGUUAGGGCAUCCGAUUUCUACUCGGAGGAUUGGGGGUUCAAGUCCCUCCGAGAGUU
Molecule: non-coding RNA, 73 nt
Organism: Ilyonectria destructans
Lineage: Eukaryota; Fungi; Ascomycota; Sordariomycetes; Hypocreales; Nectriaceae
Source: the annotation of a GenBank genome assembly